Molecule: ribosomal RNA, 1386 nt
Filed under: uncultured bacterium
Lineage: Bacteria
Description: bacterial SSU rRNA
Rfam family: Bacterial small subunit ribosomal RNA
Source: RNAcentral
AGAGUUUGAUCCUGGCUCAGGAUGAACGCUGGCGGCGUGCUUAACACAUGCAAGUCGAACGAAACACCUUAUUUGAUUUUCUUCGGAACUGAAGAUUUGGUGAUUGAGUGGCGGACGGGUGAGUAACGCGUGGGUAACCUACCCUGUACAGGGGGAUAACAGUCAGAAAUGACUGCUAAUACCGCAUAAGACCACAGCACCGCAUGGUGCAGGGGUAAAAACUCCGGUGGUACAGGAUGGACCCGCGUCUGAUUAGCUGGUUGGUGAGGUAACGGCUCACCAAGGCGACGAUCAGUAGCCGGCUUGAGAGAGUGAACGGCCACAUUGGGACUGAGACACGGCCCAAACUCCUACGGGAGGCAGCAGUGGGGAAUAUUGCACAAUGGGGGAAACCCUGAUGCAGCGACGCCGCGUGAGUGAAGAAGUAUCUCGGUAUGUAAAGCUCUAUCAGCAGGGAAGAAAAUGACGGUACCUGACUAAGAAGCCCCGGCUAACUACGUGCCAGCAGCCGCGGUAAUACGUAGGGGGCAAGCGUUAUCCGGAAUUACUGGGUGUAAAGGGUGCGUAGGUGGUAUGGCAAGUCAGAAGUGAAAACCCAGGGCUUAACUCUGGGACUGCUUUUGAAACUGUCAGACUAGAGUGCAGGAGAGGUAAGCGGAAUUCCUAGUGUAGCGGUGAAAUGCGUAGAUAUCGGGAGGAACACCAGUGGCGAAGGCGACCUACUGGGCACCAACUGACGCUGAGGCUCGAAAGCAUGGGUAGCAAACAGGAUUAGAUACCCUGGUAGUCCAUGCCGUAAACGAUGAUUACUAGGUGUUGGAGGAUUGACCCCUUCAGUGCCGCAGUUAACACAAUAAGUAAUCCACCUGGGGAGUACGACCGCAAGGUUGAAACUCAAAGGAAUUGACGGGGGCCCGCACAAGCAGUGGAGUAUGUGGUUUAAUUCGAAGCAACGCGAAGAACCUUACCAGGUCUUGGCAUCCGAUGCAUAGUGCAGAGAUGCAUGAAGUCCUUCGGGACAUCGAGACAGGUGGUGCAUGGUUGUCGUCAGCUCGUGUCGUGAGAUGUCGGGUUAAGUCCCGCAACGAGCGCAACCCUUAUUGCCAGUUACUACGUAAGAGGACUCUGGCGAGACUGCCGUUGACAAAACGGAGGAAGGUGGGGAUGACGUCAAAUCAUCAUGCCCUUUAUGACCUGGGCUACACACGUACUACAAUGGCGUUUAACAAAGAGAAGCAAGACCGCGAGGUGGAGCAAAACUCAAAAACAACGUCUCAGUUCAGAUUGCAGGCUGCAACUCGCCUGCAUGAAGUCGGAAUUGCUAGUAAUCGCGGAUCAGCAUGCCGCGGUGAAUACGUUCCCGGGUCUUGCACACACCGCCCGUCA